AAGUCGUAACAAGGUCUCCGUAGGUGAACCUGCGGAGGGAUCAUUACAGAGAACAUCGCCCCUCGACGGGUCAGCACUUCUUCCAACCCAUAUCGUUUAUUUAUUAACCGUUUGUUGCUUUGGCCGACGCCCGGCCCUCCGGGCCAUCCGGCUCUUGCUGGUGAGUGCUCGCCAGAGGACCCAAAAUUCUGAAUAUUAAUGUCGUCUGAGUACUAUAUAAUAGUUAAAA
Molecule: unclassified non-coding RNA, 229 nt
Filed under: plant metagenome
Description: partial contains small subunit ribosomal RNA and internal transcribed spacer 1
Rfam family: Eukaryotic small subunit ribosomal RNA (bases 1-46)
Source: RNAcentral